This is a non-coding RNA of Lepisosteus oculatus (spotted gar), 1641 nucleotides long. Lineage: Eukaryota; Metazoa; Chordata; Actinopteri; Semionotiformes; Lepisosteidae. The record is from RefSeq and is a predicted model, not a curated record.
CUUGUUAUGUUACACAUAACAUAUUGCUGCUCUGGAUGUCCAGAAAAGUCUUGAACAGUGAAGACUGCAAGGAAAGUGAUUCCAAUAUUCCCAAUCUUCAUUGUGAAUUGAUGAAGUCAACCCACCGGACGUCCUCAGAAUCAGGUUCAAAACAUGAACCUGAGAACACAGGUGGAAGCUAUGGAGAAGGGUACCACUGUGUCAGGGGCAUAGUGAGUCACAGAGCUGAGAACAGCAGGCACUUCUCUACACAAAGAUGAGUGGGAGCAUGGAACAAGUAGGGAACCGUGCAAAGGCUGGGUGAGACUUUUAGAUCAAUUAGCUACUCACAACUAAAUGAACUAGAUGGACUGAAUGCUCUCUUCUUUUUCGGGUUUUCCUUGUGUUUUCAUGUUCUAGCACACGGCCUGUGUUUUAAGCAGGUCAGGGGCGACUGGAUCAUCCUGUGCCGUGUAUUAUCAGACCCAUCCCAUUACAGUUCGGUCUGCACUUCGAACCAGUCCUCUACCCCUACAUGCCAGGCCUCUUGGAUUCUUCCAGCUGAAGCCCCACUGUCUCAACACGUACAGCUUUUCAAACUUUCCCUCUACGUGUGUAGAAGUGCAUCUCAUACUUGAAGAUCACCACACAGUGGGGCCAUCGCCAAAUCAACACCACAGACCAGUUUCUUGGAAGAAGACAAAUGACCUUUUCUUCGGAGAUGAGCAAUAAGAACACCAAACACGGGAGAGAACUAAAGACUAGCAAACAACUUGAGUCAUUGUGGCGGAUCUAUCCGGGUGGGCAGUCCGGGCGUCUCGGCUUCACUGGUUCUGAUGUCACUGUGUGUGAUAGCACUACUGGGGCCAGUGGGAGAUGCUAAAUCCCUGUGGGACCUGGCAGCAUGGUGAGCUGAGGACAGGGAAUAGGUGACUUGUGUCUUCUGAUCCUGGAGCAGAUCUGGAGUGUGGAGUGUGUCUGACCCCUCCUCUGACCUCAAGGACUUUGCUGCCCUGUGAAAUGGGAGCCGGGUGCAUUUCACGCUUCAUACAGCCCAUUAAAAGGGGAGACUUACAGGUCCACAUUUAAAGUUGAUCACUGCUUUUCCCUCAUUCUGAGUAAGUCUUCCUUUAGUUCCUGCUUUUCAAUCUCGCUAUGUUUUACAUUAGGCCUAAAUAAGAGGAAGUCAAGAGUCAGCAGCAACAGUUGUUUUCAGCAGCAACACUGAAGUCUGCAGCUCAGUUAAGGUGAUUUCGAGAGCCUAUAUGCAAAUCUUCAGUAUUGUUAUUGUUUAAUAAGGUUCUGUCACAUCCAUAUCUAAAUAUUAGACAGAAAACUGUAAAAUGCAGGAAGUGCAACUGUAUUAUCAGAUUUUCCUUCAUUCUUAACAGAUGGUUUAUAACAUAACCCAGUGUAGAAAAAGACAUCACCCACACCACAGACCACAGGGAAAAGAGAGAGCUGCCCUACAUUCGAUGUGUAUUUGUACAUUUCAUGGCAAUCAAAUAAUUUGCUAGUGGCAGACUCUAACCCAGCUGGUACCUGAUGAAGAAUGAAUAGUGCCUUUCUUCCAUUUUUGAUAUUCUGUAUAAUGGGGGCUGAGAUAUUGGACACCUGAUUGAUUCAGAACCUCCAGGGCAGUUCCACCAGUGUCUUGGCCAA